RNAcentral lists this long non-coding RNA (741 nucleotides) under Malus domestica (apple). RNAcentral's name for it is "long non-coding RNA (MDOM_LNC014667)". Lineage: Eukaryota; Viridiplantae; Streptophyta; Magnoliopsida; Rosales; Rosaceae. The record is from RNAcentral.
AGAAAAAUCGCUGCCACCGUACAUUCUGCAAUAUUUGAACUGAAAAGUACAAUUCUUUUAUAAAGCCACCGGCUUUUCGACCUCAAAAUUUUUCGAACGGUGGGAUAUUUUGAAAGGAAGAAUGUUUGUGUUUGGCUCCGGAAAUAGGGUUUAGUAAAAAUACUAGAGAGGUUUUUUCCAUUGACCAUAACCAACCAACCUUUGCAGGACCUAUGAACCGCCUUUGAUUUUGCUUCGACAACCCUAACUUGAUAACGUUACAUACAAUAGGUUGGGCCUUGGUUUAGUGCCGCCAAGAAACAAGGUUACAAAUUAAAGAUAAUAGUACAUAACUUAAUUUAAGAAUUGCAAAGCAUAACACUGGUAAAAUAAAAUAAUUAGUACUGAAACAAAAGAAACAAAAAAUCUCUAGCUAAGCUAUCAUAAAUUUGGAAUGAACCAACUCAGUCCCCGCAUGAGCUUAGGUGAAGCAUGAUAGUAGUAUUCUCUUGAUUGUCCAAAUUUCUGACCAUCUAAGUAGAAAUGAUGAGAAAAAUCACACAUGCUGGUUUUACUACGUACAGCAAUAUAGGAACUAACUCCUAACUCUGCAAAAUAAAUGUAGUUGGCUUCCAACCCUGUGAAAUUACUCACGGACAAGGAAAAAGAACAACCUUGACUAGUUACGAAUAAUAUUUGGUUCCCCAAACUCUGUACCUCGAUAAAGCUCCCGCCAUCCUCCAGAUCGACCUUGUAAACUAA